GUUCCAAUUAUAUGUCCCCUUUUGAAAGCAUUGCUAAUAUAAAAAUAGGAGUGUUCGAACCUGCUUCUGCUUCUGCCGUUUGGUGACCGCGAUCAUUUCAGAUUGUUCUGCCACUUUUGGUCAAAUAUGGUUUGCGCAUACGCUAAUUUACAAGGAAUUCAUAAAAUUAAAAAUUUAUCACAAAAACAGUCAAGUGGUGCUGUACAAGAAAAAUAAUGUGCUAGUAAAACAAGCUGAUAUAAAUUAAUCAGUUAAUUGAGUCUUGAAUGAUUUCAGACUCUUCGACAUGACAGAAUAUAACUCUAUGGGCGAACGAACUCAGAGCGAACGGACCUAGCGCGAACAUGUUUUUAGGGCGAACGGUCCCGAUACCUUACACUACAAACCAUUAAAGUCUAAAAUGGCCUAUGUCUGUACUCGAC
RNAcentral lists this long non-coding RNA (422 nucleotides) under Mytilus galloprovincialis (Mediterranean mussel). Lineage: Eukaryota; Metazoa; Mollusca; Bivalvia; Mytilida; Mytilidae. The record is from RNAcentral.